GACGAACGCUGGCGGCGUGCUUAACACAUGCAAGUCGAGCGGUAAGGCCUCUUCGGGGGUACACGAGCGGCGCACGGGUGAGUAACACGUGGGUGACCUGCCCUCAGCUCUGGGAUAAGCCUGGGCAACUGGGUCUAAUACCGGAUAUGACCUUUCCUCGCAUGGGGUUUGGUGGAAAGUUUUUUCGGCUGGGGAUGGGCCCGCGGCCUAUCAGCUUGUUGGUGGGGUGAUGGCCUACCAAGGCGACGACGGGUAGCCGGCCUGAGAGGGCGACCGGCCACACGGGGACUGAGACACGGCCCAGACUCCUACGGGAGGCAGCAGUGGGGAAUAGUGCGCAAGGGGCGGAAGCCUGACGCAGCGACGCCGCGUGGGGGAUGACGGCCUUCGGGUUGUAAACCUCUUUCGACCCCGACGAAUUUGGACGGUAGGGGUAGAAGAAGCACCGGCCAACUACGUG
Molecule: ribosomal RNA, 460 nt
Filed under: uncultured bacterium
Lineage: Bacteria
Description: partial 16S ribosomal RNA
Rfam family: Bacterial small subunit ribosomal RNA
Source: RNAcentral